AUACGUAGGGUGCAAGCGUUAAUCGGAAUUACUGGGCGUAAAGCGUGCGCAGGCGGUUUUGUAAGACAGUGGUGAAAUCCCCGGGCUCAACCUGGGAACUGCCAUUGUUACUGCAAGGCUGGAGUGCGGCAGAGGGGGAUGGAAUUCCGCGUGUAGAAGUGAAAUGCGUAGAUAUGCGGAGGAACACCGAUGGCGAAGGCAAUCCCCUGGGCCUGCACUGACGCUCAUGCACGAAAGCGUGGGGAGCAAACAGGAUUAGAUACCCUGGUAGUCCACGCCCUAAACGAUGUCAACUGGUUGUUGGGGAUUUAUUUUCUCAGUAACGAAGCUAACGCGUGAAGUUGACCGCCUGGGGAGUACGGCCGCAAGGUUAAAACUCAAAGGAAUUGACGGGG
This 395-nucleotide ribosomal RNA is filed under the name uncultured bacterium. Its description in RNAcentral is "partial 16S ribosomal RNA". It matches the Rfam family "Bacterial small subunit ribosomal RNA", at positions 523 to 918 of the family's 1533-position model. The record is from RNAcentral.